This 477-nucleotide ribosomal RNA is filed under the name Ehrlichia ewingii. RNAcentral's name for it is "bacterial SSU rRNA". It matches the Rfam family "Bacterial small subunit ribosomal RNA", at positions 103 to 615 of the family's 1533-position model. The record is from RNAcentral. Lineage: Bacteria; Pseudomonadati; Pseudomonadota; Alphaproteobacteria; Rickettsiales; Anaplasmataceae.
CGGGUGAGUAAUGCGUAGGAAUCUACCUAGUAGUAUGGAAUAGCCAUUAGAAAUGAUGGGUAAUACUGUAUAAUCCCUGCGGGGGAAAGAUUUAUCGCUAUUAGAUGAGCCUACGUUAGAUUAGCUAGUUGGUAAGGUAAUGGCUUACCAAGGCUAUGAUCUAUAGCUGGUCUGAGAGGACGAUCAGCCACACUGGAACUGAGAUACGGUCCAGACUCCUACGGGAGGCAGCAGUGGGGAAUAUUGGACAAUGGGCGAAAGCCUGAUCCAGCUAUGCCGCGUGAGUGAAGAAGGCCUUCGGGUUGUAAAGCUCUUUCAAUAGGGAAGAUAAUGACGGUACCUAUAGAAGAAGUCCCGGCAAACUCCGUGCCAGCAGCCGCGGUAAUACGGAGGGGGCAAGCGUUGUUCGGAAUUAUUGGGCGUAAAGGGCACGUAGGUGGACUAGUAAGUUAAAAGUGAAAUACCAAAGCUCAACUU